GAUGAACGCUGGCGGCGUGCCUAAUACAUGCAAGUCGAGCGAACGGACGAGAAGCUUGCUUUUCUGAUGUUAGCGGCGGACGGGUGAGUCACACGUGGAUAACCUACCUAUAAGACUGGGAUAACUUCGGGAAACCGGAGCUAAUACCGGAUAAUCUUUUGAACCGCAUGGUUCAAAAGUGAAAGACGGUCUUUCUGUCACUUAUAGCUGGAUCCGCGCUGCAUUAGCUAGUUGGUAAGGUAACGGCUUACCAAGGCAACGAUGCAUAGCCGACCUGAGAGGGGGAUCGGCCACACUGGAACUGAGCCACGGUCAAGACGCCUACGGGAGGCAGCAGUAGGGAAUCUUCCGCAAUGGGCGAAAGCCUGACGGAGCAACGCCGAGUGAGUUAUGAAGGUCUUCGGAUCGUAAAACUCUGUUAUUAGGGAAGAACAUAUGUGUAAGGAACUGUGCACAGAUUGACGGUACCUAGUCAGAAAGCCACGGCUAACUACGUG
This 497-nucleotide ribosomal RNA is filed under the name uncultured bacterium. RNAcentral's name for it is "partial 16S ribosomal RNA". It matches the Rfam family "Bacterial small subunit ribosomal RNA", at positions 28 to 507 of the family's 1533-position model. The record is from RNAcentral.